GAUUUAAUCAAUAUACUCAAUAAGCUAUUGUGUAAGUGUCAUCCUAACAAAUACUACAACAAUACAAGUUGUAAUGAUGACUUUGGUUAGGAUUGUUUUUAUCGCGGUCGUUCUUACUUUGAUAACUUCCAAUGCGGUUGGAUUCACUAGUACACCAAAGACGUCGGGUCCUAAUCAAUGUCAUGAUAAUGCUGAUUGCUCAAUAAAGUUACCUUAUUGUAAGGGAAUAGCCUUUUGUCGUAAUGGAGUUUGCGCGUGUUACGAAGAGAAAGCAAGCAUAACACAACAAUGUCAAAAUGAUAAAGAUUGCAUUCAUUUAAUUUGUGCUCCGCCAUGUGAAGUUUCCUAUUGUGACACAAAAACUUCCAAAUGCAAAUGCAAGUGUAAGAACUAGCGAGAUGCUAGAGAUUUGAUCACUAAACAUGUAGUGGAUAAUGAUUUUUAAUAAUAAGAAAAAAUGAAUAACUUCAAAAA
Long non-coding RNA from Glycine soja, 474 nucleotides. RefSeq lists it as uncharacterized. The record is from RefSeq and is a predicted model, not a curated record. The transcript is spliced from 2 exons. Lineage: Eukaryota; Viridiplantae; Streptophyta; Magnoliopsida; Fabales; Fabaceae.